RNAcentral lists this ribosomal RNA (262 nucleotides) under uncultured bacterium. RNAcentral's name for it is "partial 16S ribosomal RNA". It matches the Rfam family "Bacterial small subunit ribosomal RNA", at positions 28 to 290 of the family's 1533-position model. The record is from RNAcentral.
GACGAACGCUGGCGGCGUGCUUAACACAUGCAAGUCGAGCGGUAAGGCCCUUUCGGGGGUACGACGAGCGGCGAACGGGUGAGUAACACGUGGGUGACCUGCCCUCCAGCUCUGGGAUAAGCCUGGGAAACCGGGUCUAAUACUGGAUAUGACUCCAUGACGCAUGUUGUGGGGUGGAAAGCCUUGUGCGGCUGAGGAUGGGCCCGCGGCCUAUCAGCUUGUUGGUGGGGGAUGGCCUACCAAGGCGACGACGGGUAGCCGG